CUCACUCAGUCGCGCCCGAGCGCGCACACAGCCCGCGUCCUCUUCGCCCCCGGCUAGGUCCUGCCCCGCGUCCCUGCAGUUCACAAAGGGCGUCGGCCAGCUCCUGGGUGGUGACCUCGAUGAACUUGGGAUCUUGAGCAAACUGCCCCAGUCCUUCUGAAAUCAAGACCUGGAGACGCGGGAUGGGAGCCAUGGAGAACCAAAGGAACAUUAUUCCUGGAGCCCAGCUCUUCUCUUGAGGGCUAGAGCCAGGGGUAUCUGAGAAACCAUUCUCCCUGGUAAAACUGUCGAGACAGACCCACUGCCCAUUGCCUGCUGCUGCCUUUUCAGGGAGGUUGAGAGGGCGCCAUGGCGCCACCCACCCUGAAGAUGUCAUCUUCAGAGGCAGCGGACACAGCCUCCUUCAUGGCCUUGUCCAGCUCCUCCUCAGCAGUGAGAUCUCCAGAGAUGGCCCGUCGGAUCUCAGGCCCGAUGUCAUGCAGCGUGCGCAAGCCAGCCUGGAACCCAGAGGGAGGACGGUGAGGACCGCGCUCUCUUUCCUCCGAGCUCCCCAGCCACCCACAACCCAGGGCCCAGGCCUGUCCCUGCAGGGCCCUGGCAUCCUCCACCCAGCCAGCUGACCCUCUAGAAGGUUUGCCUGUGUGUGAACCGGGGGCUGGGCUGCCCUCUGCUGGAAGAAUCCAUUUGCCCAUCCAGGAGGCAUAAAGUCUCAUUAGAAGGGGGUCCCAGGGGUCAGGGGCUGUCAUGGGAGCCUCAGUGAAGUGCUCAGAGCUCUGGGGGCUAUGACAGCAGGCAGGACCAUGGAGGGCAGUCAGUGAUGGCAGGUGGGGAAGCGCACAUCACCCCCUUCUCACAGCCAUCUUUGGAAAGGUCUGGAGCUCUCUGAAAGGUUCCCUCUGCAGGGACCUGGCCUCCAGCUGCUGGGGAGGGACCAGGACCCUGACUGGAGGUUAGAGGCAGUGACCAGGACCUUCCUGGAGUGUAGGCCCACCCCCAGACCCUCACCUGCAGAGACAGCGCGUUCCUCUGGGAGGGCUUGCCCACAAGGCCCUGCUCUUUACGCUUCUUGAACUUCCGGAAGUACUCCUGGAUCAGGAACGUGGCGUAGAACUUGCCAACGGUGACCUCAUCAUCUGAGACGUAUGGAGAGGGGAGAGGGGGUAAGAGGGGAGCAGGGGAAUUCAGUUGCACUUCAUCCAUUUUUUUUCAGCAUCCAAACUUUCUUUAACUUUUUAGGUUUAAUUUUUUUGGAGAGGUAGUACAUUCACAUGGCUUAAAAAGAGAAAAAAAUAUAUAAAAAGGCUUAUAGUGCAAAGUGUUUCCCACCAUAGCCCUUAUCUGCCUAGUCGCCACCUCCUUGUGGAUUAUCUAGUUUCUUGAGGAUUUUCUCAGAGAGUCUUAGUGCAAAUUAUUUCUGUAAAUUGACAAACAUAUUCUUAUCCCCCUUUUUUUUAUGGAAAAGGUAGACUAUUAUCAAAAUUAUUUUCCACCUUUUUUUUUUAACUUCACUGAUAUUUGCUAACUCUUACUUAAUUCAAAAUUUCAAAUGUCCCGCAUCAAUUGGCCACUCUUCCAAAUGCAAGUGCCACACAGUUCUGCUUAGGUUGGAGGGAGGGGUUGGUGGAAGGAGGGCCUUCUUUCCAUAGAAGUUCAGAUUGUUCUUUCAAACCAGAUUGGGUUUUUGUGCCAGGUGGCUUGGCUGCAGCCCUGCUGGGCUGGGUGUCCAAGAUUACAUGUGACAUCCUCAGUCCCUGUCCUGGGAGUGAACCUGAUGGUGGAGAAGCCAUAAGUUCUCACAGGAAAAAAUUCAUGCCUGUAAAGAAUCUCUUGGUUCUUUGUCAAGAAAUGCAAUGGGCCCAAGAGACCGCUGGGGAUUAGAUCUAGGGGCUGGUGAGGGUUCUUUUUCUCCUGCCUGUCCCUCAAAAAUAACCAAAUCCAUAGCAGAGAUGACCCCCACUUCUCUGGCGAGGGCCGCAUUUCCAAGUGGGAGGGAAAACCCAGGGUCCCCUGCCCAGUAUAGUCAGGAAGGAAGAACUGAAUGGUGGGACACGCUGGGAGUCUUAGGUUUCCUGGGCCUGGGUUUGAAUCCUGAAUCUGCUCUGGACUCUCCAGGUAACCUUGGGUCACCAUCUCAGCUUCUAAGAACUUUAGUUCCCUGAGCAAACCUCACAGAAAUGUUGUCAGGAUUCAAUAAAAUAAUGCGUUUGAAACAUC
Non-coding RNA from Saimiri boliviensis boliviensis (Bolivian squirrel monkey), 2214 nucleotides. Lineage: Eukaryota; Metazoa; Chordata; Mammalia; Primates; Cebidae. The record is from RefSeq and is a predicted model, not a curated record.